CCUGGCUCAGUGCAGCUUCCACCUCCUGGAUUCAAGUAAUUCUCCUGCCUCAGCCUCCCAAGUAGCUGGGAUUCUCCUGCCUCAGCCUCCUGAGUAGCUGGGUCUUGCUCUGUCGCGCAGGCUGAGUGCAGCGGUGCCAUCUUGUCUCAUUGCAACCUCUGGCUCCUAGGAUCAAAAGAUCCUCUUAUCUCAGCCCCCCAAGUAGCGGGGACUACAGGCACAUGCCACCACACCCCACUAAUUUGUGUGUAUUUUCUAGAGAUGGGGUUUAGCCAUGUUGCCCAAACUGGUCUGGAACUCCUGAGCUCAAGCAAUCCACCCUCCUUGGACUCCCGAAGUGCGGGAUUAAACGCAUGAGCCACAAAGCCUGGCCCUGUA
Molecule: long non-coding RNA, 378 nt
Filed under: Homo sapiens (human)
Lineage: Eukaryota; Metazoa; Chordata; Mammalia; Primates; Hominidae
Description: HSALNT0214283
Source: RNAcentral